UUGACCGUCAAAUUCAUCGAGCAUCUCAGUGCUUUAAAGUCGGUAGAUAAAGUUGACCCUUUGAAGAUCAAAUAUUACCGACUCAAGCUUGCAAUUGAGGCUUUACGGGGGGAGGCAUAUUUAUGAGAUAUGGGAUGCCUACAACGUGAAGGGCCAGAGUUUUAAAACGGCCAUAGAAGCUGCUUGCCUACUUCUCAGAAUCGAUGACAUUGUGAGUGGGAUGAAGAAGAAGCAGCCUCCUGGUGCCAAAGCUCCUUCCAAGCCUCAAGUUGAGACAGAAGGCGAUGCAGAUAAUGAGCAAAUAAUUCCGGAGUGCUUAUCGAGAGCACGUGGUUAUCUCAGUUUGAAUGAAGUUUUGCUGUAAAGAAGAAAAAAAGGAGCAUUAUAAGUUUGAUGAGGAUAUUUUUUAGGUUUGUAAUGUCACCUUAACUUGGUAGUGUGUGUUUUGUCCCUCUUCUUUCUUUCUCAUUCGACGAGGGGUGGGAAAGAAGAGAAGUCUUCUUAUUGGAGAAUGCUAAUGUUAGUUUCACAUGUCAUCUGUGUAUCGAACACAAUUUCUUUGUUCAACUUCGUGGAUUGGCACA
Long non-coding RNA from Prunus dulcis (almond), 584 nucleotides. RefSeq lists it as uncharacterized. The transcript is spliced from 2 exons. Lineage: Eukaryota; Viridiplantae; Streptophyta; Magnoliopsida; Rosales; Rosaceae. The record is from RefSeq and is a predicted model, not a curated record.